AAAUUAACAUUUUAUGAAAAAAUGUGUUUGGUUAAGUGGUUUGAGGAAUUGUUUUGGUCUCCAACUCUCCAUGGGUUCAAAUUAUGGGUAUUAAACAUGAAUUUUUUAAAAGAAAAGAAGAAAAUGCAUAAAAUAGGGAAAGAGGGAGUUGAACACACGACCUCUUCUCAUAAAACCAUACUACAGACCACUAGGCCAAACUCUGAGUUUAAUACAUUUAUACCGCAACUAAUAUAUAUAUAGAGUAAAUAGGUAUAAUUUUAUAAAGCUCCCAAGGGUAUUUAAGUACUUUCACAUUUUUUGGUGGUGGGCCAUGGCCCUCCCCAGCCCCCUAGGCCCGCUGCGGUACACAAUAACCUUUACGACACCUCAUUCUUCUAGGAGAUUUGUUAAACGAGGAGCGGGUGGAAGUUAGACAAUCACGAUCAGUAACACAUGGAGUGGAAACUGUAAUGUUAAAAGAGAAGAAAAAAAAAUGUUACAAAAUGGAAUAAAAUAUAAUGUAAGAAAUAAAGAUGGAAAUUUGAAAAGGAGAUAAACUGGUUUACCAUAAAUCUGACUUUGUGUUGAAACAAGUAAUAGGGAAAGAAUGAUUAUCAUAACAUUAACAAACGUGAAAAUUUUAUUCAUAUUUUCUCUACCUUUUGUAUGUGUAUUACAUAGAAUUGUAGUUUAUCACGUCUUGAUUUAUAAAGUCAUUGUUCUCCUUACAACAAUUAAAUAGUUUUUAUAUAGUACUUCAAGAGUUGUGAAAAGACUUCCAUUUUUUGUUUACAAUUAUUCGAUGUCUCUUAAUUAAGUACAACAAUGUAUUGCCCCUUUAACACCUUUUGUAAAGANN
This 841-nucleotide long non-coding RNA is filed under the name Trifolium pratense (red clover). Its description in RNAcentral is "long non-coding RNA (TPRA_LNC004824)". The record is from RNAcentral. Lineage: Eukaryota; Viridiplantae; Streptophyta; Magnoliopsida; Fabales; Fabaceae.